GCUGGCGGCAGGCCUAACACAUGCAAGUCGAGCGGUAGCACAGAGAGCUUGCUCUCGGGUGACGAGCGGCGGACGGGUGAGUAAUGUCUGGGAAACUGCCUGAUGGAGGGGGAUAACUACUGGAAACGGUAGCUAAUACCGCAUAACGUCGCAAGACCAAAGUGGGGGACCUUCGGGCCUCAUGCCAUCAGAUGUGCCCAGAUGGGAUUAGCUAGUAGGUGGGGUAACGGCUCACCUAGGCGACGAUCCCUAGCUGGUCUGAGAGGAUGACCAGCCACACUGGAACUGAGACACGGUCCAGACUCCUACGGGAGGCAGCAGUGGGGAAUAUUGCACAAUGGGCGCAAGCCUGAUGCAGCCAUGCCGCGUGUGUGAAGAAGGCCUUCGGGUUGUAAAGCACUUUCAGCGGGGAGGAAGGCGGUGAGGUUAAUAACCUCGUCGAUUGACGUUACCCGCAGAAGAAGCACCGGCUAACUCCGUGCCAGCAGCCGCGGUAAUACGGAGGGUGCAAGCGUUAAUCGGAAUUACUGGGCGUAAAGCGCACGCAGGCGGUCUGUCAAGUCGGAUGUGAAAUCCCCGGGCUCAACCUGGGAACUGCAUUCGAAACUGGCAGGCUAGAGUCUUGUAGAGGGGGGUAGAAUUCCAGGUGUAGCGGUGAAAUGCGUAGAGAUCUGGAGGAAUACCGGUGGCGAAGGCGGCCCCCUGGACAAAGACUGACGCUCAGGUGCGAAAGCGUGGGGAGCAAACAGGAUUAGAUACCCUGGUAGUCCACGCCGUAAACGAUGUCGAUUUGGAGGUUGUGCCCUUGAGGCGUGGCUUCCGGAGCUAACGCGUUAAAUCGACCGCCUGGGGAGUACGGCCGCAAGGUUAAAACUCAAAUGAAUUGACGGGGGCCCGCACAAGCGGUGGAGCAUGUGGUUUA
RNAcentral lists this ribosomal RNA (922 nucleotides) under Klebsiella pneumoniae. RNAcentral describes it as "bacterial SSU rRNA". It matches the Rfam family "Bacterial small subunit ribosomal RNA", at positions 35 to 948 of the family's 1533-position model. The record is from RNAcentral. Lineage: Bacteria; Pseudomonadati; Pseudomonadota; Gammaproteobacteria; Enterobacterales; Enterobacteriaceae.